UUGGAAACAACUUGUAGCUUCAUUACAGACUCGUUUGAAGUUAGUAAAAAUUUGUAGCUUCAUUUUCGGUUGUUUAAAAUUAGAAUCAACUUGUAGUUUCAUUCUUGACUCGCUUGAGCCUGGAAACAACUUGUUGCUUCAUUAUUUGCUAGGUUGAAGUUGGAAACAACUUGUAGCUUCAUUCCAGACUCGUUUGAAGUUGAAAACAACUUGUA
This 215-nucleotide long non-coding RNA is filed under the name Daucus carota (carrot). RNAcentral's name for it is "long non-coding RNA (DCAR_LNC007400)". Lineage: Eukaryota; Viridiplantae; Streptophyta; Magnoliopsida; Apiales; Apiaceae. The record is from RNAcentral.